RNAcentral lists this ribosomal RNA (115 nucleotides) under Danio rerio (zebrafish). The record is from RNAcentral. Lineage: Eukaryota; Metazoa; Chordata; Actinopteri; Cypriniformes; Danionidae.
UGUCACAGCCAUAUCAGCCUGCAGCCCAACACUAGUUACUCACUGAAGCUAGAAGGGCUGGCCUGGUCAGUACCUGGAUGGGACACCACAUGGGAAAACUAGGUUGCUGUUGGAA